GGCUGUUUAUUGAUAUUUUCCUAGCCUGGCGGUGGAUAGUCCCUUUUCAACUGCAAGUGAUAACUUGAUCGUUGCAUUGUGACAAGUGGAGGAAAAGAAGGAAAUACCUUCUGUUGUUUACCAGUUCAAUUCUUCCAUCAACUUUUUCUGCAAGGCCAAAAUGAUGGAUGAUGCAUUGAAGACGUACAGAAGAAUGCAAGAGAUGAAAAUUCAACCCACUGAGCAAACACUUACCUAUCUGUUAUAUGCGAUCUUGUGGGGGAACAUUAAGAGGAAUAUGGAGAGUGGAAAUUUGGUGGUAAGCAGAGAUCUACAUGAGUACUUGCUACUGAACUGUCUUCGUGGUGGCUACUUUGAGAGAGUGAUGGUGGUCCUUGACUUUAUGAAGGAACAUGGCAUGUGCACCGACAAGUGGUUGUACAGGAGUGAGUUUGUAAAACUUGAUAAGAAUCUUUAUAGGAAUUUAAAGGCGUCAGAAGCCAGAACUGAGGCUCAGUUGAUUGAAGAGAAGUUCAAUAUGAACUGGGAUGAUUUACUGCAAGAAAAGCCAUUUAUGGUGCACUGCGACUCUCAUUGACCUAAACCAAUUACCUUCUACAGCUCCGAGUUUCCUAAACUAACACUGAUUUAAAGUUAGGGGAGCAGUGUAACUGCCAUCAACUCCUAUAACUCUUUUCCUUAAGUUUAGGUUAGUUCCCUCUUAAUUAGGUGUUCUUCAGAGUUCCUACCUAGAACUCCCUUAUAAACUAGAAAGUUGAAGGUUUUGCAACAGCGAAUAUGGAAGAUGCAUUAUGGUUCUCAGGUGAAACCAAACUCAUACUCCAUUUGUAAUGUCUGAAUCAUGCCGGGGAGGGACAUGCCAUCAUGGAAUACAAUGAUUACUGGUUUCAUUCAGAAUGGGGAUUUAAAGCGGGCGAAGGAGUUGUUUAUUCAAAUGCCGCAAAAGAAUGUCAUCUCAUGGACUACGAUGAUCACAGGGUAUGUACAAGAUGGGCAAAAUGAAAAAGCAUUGAUGAUUUUUUCAAAAAUGCUGGUGGAUAAUGGAGUGAAACCAAAUCAGGGAACUUUUGUGAAUGUUCCAAGUGCUUGUAGUAACCGAGCUGGUUUCAGUGAGGGACAAUAAAUACACCAGAUGAUAAGUAAAACAGUGCCCAAAAAAAAAAAAAAAAAA
Prunus dulcis (almond) is the source of this 1171-nucleotide long non-coding RNA. RefSeq lists it as uncharacterized. NCBI's taxonomy places the organism in Eukaryota, Viridiplantae, Streptophyta, Magnoliopsida, Rosales, Rosaceae. The transcript has 2 exons. The record is from RefSeq and is a predicted model, not a curated record.